ACUGAUCAGGGCACAGCCCAAUCAGAAGACAAACCCCUGCAAUGCCAGGGACCAGCAAAUCCGCUUUCUUCCAGUGUGCACAUGACUGAAUGUGCUUCUGUCCAUCAUCUGGGUCAUAUAUAGUUCAAUGCGGGCUGAGCAGACAGGGCUGCAAGGAAAUCUGGCGUGGUUCAAUAGCUCAUCUAGCCUGGGUUCCAGUAUCUAAAUUUUUCUUACUGACAAAGUCAUUUCUCUACUGGAACAGGAUGCUGUGCUGGCUGGAAGUUCCAUUUCUACAGCAAGAACCCAAUCUGGAAGCACAGAAGUUGUCCUCUUGCCACAGCAGCUUGAACUUUUUGAUUGUUGUUGCUGCUUUCUCCCAUCACCCCCAUCCCCUUUUGACAAAGAUCCAACUGUAAAAAGUCUUACGUAACAGUUCAGGACUACUUCGGUUCUUUUACUGGAACAGAAGCUUUAUACACACCCCAUAACGCAGCUGGAGAAGAGUUAUGAAGUCAGUUAUUAUAAGGAACACAAAGGUUGCUUUGCAUUCCUUGCCUUUAGAAAAUUAAUUUUGUUAUUUGUUUUCUUAAAAUAGAGAUUUUUUAAAAAGAAGAAAUUUACAAAAGAAUAAACUGUUGGAGAAUCUAGCAAAGUUUGAAGUUUUUGCCACCUUUUCUGCAGUUUUGCGUGGCCAAACACUUGUGCCGCCUGGGGCGGUGGGGAUAGAGGCAAGCAUAGACAGAGAGGAACUAAGCCAGACAUGGACAAAGGCAUGAGCCAAAACCAGACAGUCCUGGCCGCUCGAUAGGCCAGCAGUGGGUGAGACAGGUCAGCCAGCUGCAGGGGCGGGAGGGGGAAGGGGCAUGGAUGCGUGAGGUGCUCAUGCGUGCGAUCGUGACUAGAUUCUGAAACUGCCAGCCAUUUUCCCAGCUAUGCUUUGUACAAUCUAAAGGAAUGUAUCUCCUCUGAAGCAGUCUUGCCAGAGCCCAGCAAGAGAGCAGUAUGAUAAAUACCACAACGUACAGAAUCAGAAAAUACUGGGAACAGGGGUGUGCAGAGGGAAUGCAGGGGGUGUGGAAAUUUUUUAGUGAUCUGGAAUGUGUUGAGUGACAGGAAGUGCCCCAAGUCUCCCCCCAACCAACUCUUCUCAGUCGUGCCUGCUUUUGUCUAACUCUUGUAAUCUACACACUACUGCUUACAAAGCUGUCUGAGUUUAAGACAAAAAGAAACAUAAAAGGCUCUCCGUUUCAUACUAUCUGUGAUAUGGAAGGAAUGUAAAAGUAUGGCCCUUCAAGCCUGUCGAGAUUUUUUUUCAAGUAUACAAGAGAAAGAUAAAAUAAUUUUCCAUAGAUAAGAAGGAAUUAUGAAUUACAAUCCAGUUCCAAUUUUGCUUUAAAAAAAUCCCUAUGUUGCUGUACUUACCAAUGCUUAGGUUUGUUCCUAAUUUGAAGGAGACCUGUUUUGCUUGGUGAAUAUACUGCAUUUGAAGUUGUUUCUAUGAUUUCUUUGUACAAAUUUGGACUUCGGGAGAAACACAUAAAGUAUUAAGUAGAGUACACUAAAAAGGAGAGGGGAAUUUUUCCUUCUAUUGGUUGGAAAGUAUUUUAAAGGACUGGUUUCUUAGAAAAAGUAGCUCUCUACUACUUUUGGUUUGAAUAUUAGAAAGGUAACUUUAUGCUGUAAUGAAUGUUAGGGAGGAAACUUUUGAGAGAAAAUAAGUGGUAAUAAGUGAACAAAAACCUUAGUACUUCCCCAAACUUCUCUGUAUUAUCAAUAAAUACUAAAACUUGACAGAAAAGUUGCCAAAUAAUUAAACAGCCAACCCUACUUUUGUAAGUAUGAAACAGAAAAUUAGUGUGAAUAAAAUGAUACUCUGAAAUGUUUCUACCUCCUAUUACAAAGGAUGUUAGUGGUCAGACUAGGAGUUAAUCUUUCCUAGUGUGGCUCUGAGCCUUCAUGCCGAGCAGACGUUAAUUCACAUGACGAUUCGAAAAGUCCAUUCAUAUAUCUCACUACCUGGAUUUGAAUAGAAACCAGACAGCAAUUCUUUAGUUCCAGCCACCAUUCGCCACACUGGACAAUAGCGAUUUGUUAGCACAGAGUCACAGGCUGUGGGACACAAAGCUUAGAGCUGCAGAAAGAUGGGGGAUUCAGAGGACAGGAAAUUACAGGCUCGAUGCACUCCUGGCAGCUCUGAGAAUACAAAAAAAAAAAACGGCAACACAAGAGAUGCCACGUUUAAGAGCUACUUCUAGCUUUUUUAACCACCUCCAAUGUCAUAAAAGCACUAUUGUUGGAGUACAUAAAGUCACGAGUCCCAUGUGCUCUUUCCUCACUACAGGGAACUUCAUUCAAUUCCCUAGCACAGUCAGAAAUAUCAAAAGCAUCCAGAGUUGAUUGGUUCUAUGUUCUGGUGGAAAGGAGAGAAACAUUUUAUAAACAAAAUGUCAA
Molecule: non-coding RNA, 2433 nt
Organism: Heterocephalus glaber (naked mole-rat)
Lineage: Eukaryota; Metazoa; Chordata; Mammalia; Rodentia; Bathyergidae
Source: RefSeq, a predicted model, not a curated record